CGCGUAGGCGGCUCCGUAAGCGGGUGGUGAAAGCCCGGGGCUCAACCCCGGGUCGGCCAUGCGAACUGGGGAGCUGGAGCACGGUAGAGGCACAUGGAAUUCCGGGUGUAGCGGUGGAAUGCGUAGAGAUCCGGAAGAACACCGGUGGCGAAGGCGGUGUGCUGGGCCGUGGCUGACGCUGAGGCGCGACAGCGUGGGGAGCAAACAG
Molecule: ribosomal RNA, 208 nt
Filed under: uncultured bacterium
Lineage: Bacteria
Description: partial 16S ribosomal RNA
Rfam family: Bacterial small subunit ribosomal RNA
Source: RNAcentral